UGAGAUGGUGUCGGUUUUAUUCAAUUCCACUGAGGCUGACUGGAGUUUGUACUGUAUGUGUAGUGGUGUGUGGGUAAAAUCACUAGGAAAGCACCCCCCCACAAAAAAAAAAAAGGCAGAUUUAAACCUGUGUUGUGAUAAUUGUGAUGUUUGCUCUAUAACAUAUAUACAUGAACCUUGAGACUGUGAUAUAUAAUCAUGGACGGAGACACAUUUAGAAAGAUCCUGUCGUACUGCAUUUUAUUAUUGAAUACAAAGAAAAACAAGACACGUGUAUAAAUGCAUUGCUUCAAAACUACUCUUAGUAGCCUCAGUAAGAAGACACUUAUCCACAGCAAAAUAUUACAACCCCCUUUUUUUAAAGAAACAUAGCAUUUGAAAUAAAUACGUUUGGAUGAUAACAUCUUGCUGAUUGCAUUGGGGGCAAUGCACUUUCACACUAUUUACAGUUUAAAUCUGACUAAAUAAUCAUCACCGUCUCACAGACCCUCAGUGCUCACAGAAACUGUUGCCCUUUACAUUCAAACCUCAUCCCUUCAUCGUCACAUUCUAUUUUUAAAUGUGCUUUUGUCAAGGAACCAAAAGUGAAAACUACACAUUUUUCCCAUUACCAGAAUGUACAGUGUACUGUAUACUGUAUAAAGACAGGACAAUGUACCAGAUAUAACUUGGUGUCAAACAGAAUAUGAAUGUGACCAACAUGUCCCUCUUGAAGGUGACAUAAAGUAGACUAUACAGGUUACAUAGAGUAGACUGUACAGGUUACAUAAAGUAGACUAUACAGGUUACAUAGAGUAGACUAUACAGGUUACAUAAAGUAGACUAUACAGGUUACAUAGAGUAGACUAUACAGGUUACAUAAAGUAGACUAUACAGGUUACAUAGAGUAGACUAUACAGGUUACAUAAAGUAGACUAUACAGGUUACAUAGAGUAGACUGUACAGGUUACAUAAAGUAGACUAGACAGGUUACAUAAAGUAGACUAUACAGGUUACAUAAAGUAGACUAUACAGGUUACAUAGAGUAGACUGUACAGGUUACAUAAAGUAGACUAUACAGGUUACAUAAAGUAGACUAUACAGGUUACAUAAAGUAGACUAUAGAGGUCACAUAAAGUAGACUAUAGAGGUCACAUAAAGUAGACUAUACAGGCUACAUAAAGUAGACUAUACAGGUUACAUAGAGUAGACUAUACAGGUUACAUAGAGUAGACUAUACAGGCUACAUAAAGUAGACUAUACAGGUUACAUAAAGUAGACUAUACAGGUUACAUAGAGUAGACUAUACAGGUUACAUAAAGUAGACUAUACAGGUUACAUAGAGUAGACUAGACAGGUUACAUAAAGUAGACUAUACAGGCUACAUAAAGUAGACUAUACAGGUUACAUAAAGUAGACUGUACAGGUUACAUAAAGUAGACUAUACAGGCUACAUAGAGUAGACUAGACAGGUCACAUAAAGUAGACUAUACAGGUUAAAUAAAGUAGACUAUAGAGGUCACAUGAAGUAGACUAUAGAGGUCACAUAAAGUAGACUAUACAGGCUACAUAAAGUAGACUAUACAGGUUACAUAAAGUAGACUAUAGAGGUCACAUAAAGUAGACUAUAGAGGUCACAUAAAGUAGACUAUACAGGCUACAUAAAGUAGACUAUACAGGUUACAUAGAGUAGACUAUACAGGUUACAUAAAGUAGACUAUACAGGCUACAUAAAGUAGACUAUACAGGUUACAUAGAGUAGACUGUACAGGUUACAUAAAAUAGACUAUACAGGUUACAUAAAGUAGACUAUACAGGUUACAUAGAGUAGACUAUAGAGGUCACAUAAAGUAGACUAUACAGGUUAAAUAAAGUAGACUAUAGAGGUCACAUAAAGUAGACUAUACAGGUUACAUAAAGUAGACUAUACAGGCUACAUAAAGUAGACUAUACAGGUUACAUAGAGUAGACUGUACAGGCUACAUAAAGUAGACUAUACAGGUUACAUAGAGUAGACUAUACAGGUUACAUAAAGUAGACUAUGCAGGCUACAUAAAGUAGACUAUACAGGUUACAUAGAGUAGACUAUACAGGUUACAUAAAGUAGACUAUAGAGGUCACAUAAAGUAGACUGUACAGGUUACAUAAAAUAGACUAUACAGGCUACAUAGAUUAGAUUAUACAGGUUACAUAAAGUAGACUAUACAGGUUACAUAAAGUAGACUAUACAGGCUACAUAAAGUAGACUAUACAGGUUACAUAAAGUAGACUAUACAGGUUACAUAAAGUAGACUAUACAGGUUACAUAAAGUAGACGAUACAGGUUACAUAAAGUAGACUAUAGAGGUCACAUAAAGUAGACUAUACAGGUUACAUAAAGUAGACUAUACAGGUUACAUAAAGUAGACUAUACAGGUUACAUAAAGUAGACUAUACAGGUUACAUAAAGACUAUACAGGACUAAAUACAGGU
This is a long non-coding RNA of Oncorhynchus tshawytscha (Chinook salmon), 2451 nucleotides long. Lineage: Eukaryota; Metazoa; Chordata; Actinopteri; Salmoniformes; Salmonidae. The record is from Ensembl.